CUUUCUUUGCUGGCGACCGGCGCACGGGUGAGUAACACGUAUCCAACCUGCCCUUUACUCGGGGAUAGCCUUUCGAAAGAAAGAUUAAUACCCGAUAGUAUAAUGAUUCCGCAUGGUUUCAUUAUUAAAGGAUUCCGGUAAGGGAUGGGGAUGCGUUCCAUUAGGUUGUUGGUGAGGUAACGGCACACCAAGCCUUCGAUGGAUAGGGGUUCUGAGAGGAAGGUCCCCCACAUUGGAACUGAGACACGGUCCAA
This 254-nucleotide ribosomal RNA is filed under the name uncultured bacterium. Its description in RNAcentral is "partial 16S ribosomal RNA". It matches the Rfam family "Bacterial small subunit ribosomal RNA", at positions 79 to 334 of the family's 1533-position model. The record is from RNAcentral.